UGCGCAGAUCUAGUUUGAGGAAACCAUGUCAUGAGGCCUGUUUUGGAUGAUAGUAAAGAAGUCCGCUCACUAUAACACAAUCGAGAGGGGCAAGCAUUUGGCAUUCAUCAAAGACAUGAUGGACUUUAACCAAAAAAAAAGGGAAAGAAAAUAAAAAGAUAUGGUAGAUCAUAUCUUAUUGAGUCGAUUGGGAGAAGCAAGAAUUUUCUUAACUAACUCAACUCAAAUAAUCAAUCUAGAGGGGCCAAAAUGAUUCACAUUAAGUCUAAAAAAAAUCUUUUUGGAUCACUUGUAUAAUUAACCGAGACAACACAAUAAGUUAAAUACAAUAAUUAAACGCACGUCCCUAAUAAUUAAAUACAAAAUGUUACCUCAUCAAACUUUCUUGAAAGACAAACUAACCCUACCUUUAUAGGUGUGAUGUGAUCGGUAGUGGAAAUGUACUCAUUUGAUGAACUUCACAUUUUGUAUCAUUGAAACGGAAGGCAA
RNAcentral lists this long non-coding RNA (489 nucleotides) under Elaeis guineensis (African oil palm). Its description in RNAcentral is "long non-coding RNA (EGUI_LNC030611)". Lineage: Eukaryota; Viridiplantae; Streptophyta; Magnoliopsida; Arecales; Arecaceae. The record is from RNAcentral.